RNAcentral lists this ribosomal RNA (731 nucleotides) under Miconia conobrenesii. RNAcentral's name for it is "eukaryotic LSU rRNA". The stretch from base 260 to 415 matches the Rfam family "5.8S ribosomal RNA". Lineage: Eukaryota; Viridiplantae; Streptophyta; Magnoliopsida; Myrtales; Melastomataceae. The record is from RNAcentral.
GGAUCAUUGUCGAAAUCGAACGGAAGAACGACCCGCGAAUCGUCAUUGCGUAGUAGACAGAGCCCGCGAGCACCUAACGCUCACGGGUCUCGCGUCGCGUCGGCGCGGGUGUACUCGAGACCCGCGUCGUACCGGCGGACAAACAACGUCAGCACGGAUCGUGCCAAGGAGCUGCAUGGAGAGAAUCGUCGUCCCACGCCUUUGAUAGUCCUCGACGCGGGGCGGGGGAUGUACGCAAUCUCUACUCAAAAGUCUAAACGACUCUCGGCAACGGAUAUCUCGGCUCUUGCAUCGAUGAAGAACGUAGCGAAAUGCGAUACUUGGUGUGAAUUGCAGAAUCCCGUGAACCAUCAAUUCUUUGAACGCAAGUUGCGCCCGAAGCCAUUCGGCCGAGGGCACGCCUGCCUGGGCGUCGUGAAUCCCCUUGCCCCUAGGCACCCGCAUGAGCAUUGGCGGGGACAUAUGCUCGGGCGCAGAAUAUGGUCUCCCGUGGGAUCGGCAUGCACGGCAUGUCGAGGCGCGGUUGGCCGAAAAUCGAGCAUGGCGGUGACGGGCACCACGGCGUUCGGUGGAUCGAAUGAGAUUGGCUGCGUCGUGGGCUCGGCAUGCGGCGGGCUCCGGACUUUGAACUUCCCCGAGUGCGAUCCCAGGUCAGGCGGGGCUACCCGCUGAGUUUAAGCAUAUCAAUAAGCGGAGGAAAAGAAACUAACGAGGAUUCCCUUAGUAGCGGC